CAGAGCCCCAGGUGUUCCCGGAGCAGUGUGCGGUUUACGCCCCUCUAGAGUAUGUGCCCGGCACCCACCAGUUCGGCCUGACGCAGAGCAGCCACAUGGCAUUGCCUUUCAAUCAGUCUGGCAUCAGGAAGAGCGGCCUUGUCUACUACGUGGCUCACCAGAACCAGGUGGACUGUGCCAUGCUGCAGCUGCACAGCGGCCACCUCCACUUCAUCUUUGAUCUCAGCAAAGGCAGAACAAAG
This is a long non-coding RNA of Nycticebus coucang (slow loris), 242 nucleotides long. RefSeq lists it as uncharacterized. The transcript has 3 exons. Lineage: Eukaryota; Metazoa; Chordata; Mammalia; Primates; Lorisidae. The record is from RefSeq and is a predicted model, not a curated record.